RNAcentral lists this ribosomal RNA (804 nucleotides) under Triticum aestivum (bread wheat). RNAcentral's name for it is "partial small subunit ribosomal RNA". Lineage: Eukaryota; Viridiplantae; Streptophyta; Magnoliopsida; Poales; Poaceae. The record is from RNAcentral.
AUGUGGCACAAGACCGGCAAUACCUUGCUGGUGAUGGUCAAUGGCCGGCAGACACGCAGCAAAAAGGUUCUGGUGCUGCACACCAACAAGAACUUUGACCAGCAGAGGACCAACUGGGUGAUGCAACAGUACCACCUCGGGGACCUGGAGCAAGAGAAGGAGCGGGAGCUGGUCCUCUGCAAGAUUUUCUACCAGACAAACACUAGGGCCAGGAGUCGAGCAAGUUUCAACUGGGUUGUAGACUGCCUAGGCUUGGUUUUGUUUUUAACAGGCCCAGCCCAUGACGACAACGGGGCACAAAGAUCCAACAGGGGGGACGGAGUUGGGUCAAAGGGGAACGUCGCCAAUGGAUCUUCAUCGCCGCCGUCUGGAGCAGAGGGUGGAGCAGGACGGGGAGGGGCAGUGGAGUUGGCCUACUAUGACCCAAAAGUAGACAGCAAGCGCAUAAGGGCUCCCGGGUCAGAUGUUGGGCUUUGUUGCCCUGGGAGGAGUCGAGUUGCUUAUUUUGAAAAUCCUGAUAUCCCUCCUUCUCAUAACUCCUUCUGGUUCUUCCUGAUCUUGUCUUCAAAGUCCAACCUAGCUUGGAACCGAAGGUCAAAAAAGGUCAUGUUUGUGGCUGAGACUGAUCGGGGUGAUCAGAGUCAAGAAGUUCGGGUGUCUGACGCCGCCGGAGUGGCGGACAUCAGGGAGAGGUGGCUGACGCAGCCGGACUGGCGUACGUCAGGCGGCUGGUGGUGGCCGCCACCGGCCGGGCCGAUGGCGGGGGCAGGGGCUCGGAGCGGUAUCCCCAAAUGGCGUCUGUGA